GCGGGAAUAGCUCAGUUGGUAGAGCAUCUGCUUCCCAAGCAGAGGGUCGCGGGUUCGAGUCCCGUUUCCCGCU
RNAcentral lists this transfer RNA (73 nucleotides) under Acidobacteriota bacterium. RNAcentral's name for it is "tRNA-Gly". It matches the Rfam family "tRNA". Rfam says of the family: Transfer RNA (tRNA) molecules are approximately 80 nucleotides in length. Their secondary structure includes four short double-helical elements and three loops (D, anti-codon, and T loops). RNAcentral also lists the same sequence under 1 other name. Lineage: Bacteria; Pseudomonadati; Acidobacteriota. The record is from RNAcentral.